This 29-nucleotide transfer RNA is filed under the name Passiflora setulosa. RNAcentral's name for it is "partial tRNA-His". Lineage: Eukaryota; Viridiplantae; Streptophyta; Magnoliopsida; Malpighiales; Passifloraceae. The record is from RNAcentral.
GGCGGAUGUAGCCAAGUGGAAAGGCGGUA